RNAcentral lists this long non-coding RNA (1634 nucleotides) under Pocillopora damicornis (cauliflower coral). RNAcentral describes it as "uncharacterized LOC113675288". Lineage: Eukaryota; Metazoa; Cnidaria; Anthozoa; Scleractinia; Pocilloporidae. The record is from RNAcentral.
GAGACUGGACAUGCAACUUUCACCAUUUUUAAGAAUUUGAUAUUUGGUUAUGGCAAGAUUACUGGCUGCAGAUGACGAAGGUAACAGGGUGAAAGGUAGUGUACAUGUGGAGAAUAUCAAAGGAAGCGAAACGAGAUAGGUUGAACGAUGAAUCAUGAAUGCCAUUUGUGAAUGGAUGAUGUUUGACAAAGGUGGAAUAAGGGAUUCACCCAUCACAGAGGGAGAGACUCAACAAAUCACAUUUUUUCAGAUUUGGUUUUCAAGUCAAGUUAACUUUGUCAUUGUCCUAUUGCUGUGGACAAAUUGUGUCACUCCCAUCUGACAAGAGCAUAGUUUCUUUUGAGACAUCUUUUUUCAUUUUUUUUUCUUUCAAUCAUUGAGGUCUUUUGUUCUCUUCUUAUUUCUAACCUAGGUGAAAAUAACACAAGAGUAUUCAAGUGAAUUUAGCCAAGAAACCUCAGAAAAUGGUGAUUUAGAAGAAGGAGGACGACUUGGAGUAGCUAUAACAAAGCUUAACAGGUUAGUGGAGAGGGGUAUUGAAAAAUAUUCAACAGAAAAAAAAGCUACAUUUCAUAGGAAUUUUCAAUAUUUUAACCUUGAGGUUGAUAUAGAAAUUUGUAUGGAAAAGCAAGUAAUGCAACAUUGAAGUAAAAAGGAAAUGGUUGAUGAUUUUUCCUUUUACGAAAUUAGCUGUGAUUCCAAGUUAUUUAUACCAAUCGAUGACUGUAAUGGAUAAAGUAAGUAAUUUAUUGUGACUCUUGAAAAUUAAUGUUUGUGAAUUUUACCUUACAAAAUUACAGAUGAUUCUGAAUAAUAAAUGAAAUUUGAUAUGAAUUACUGCUUUAGAUUUGGAGCUGUGUUAGUAGAUUAUUAUUAUGAUGUUAUUUAAGCUCAGCUCUUCCUUUGAGCACAAAAUUGACGAGUGGUAAUUUAAGAAAAAAACAAAAUAAAAAGGCAUGGUGAUCUGAAUUCAAGAAAAUAGUGGAGAGAGAACCAAAAAAAACACAUUCUGGUGAAACAAUUAAUGAAAAUGGCACAGAGAAAAUGAGACUAUGGAGAACAUGUAACUAAUUUUACUUUAGAAGUUAUGUUAUGUUUGACUUUUGGUGUUAUUUUUAAGUAAGCAAUGCUUGGACUUAAAUUGAUGAGUCAAUAGAAGUUAUAGUUUUUAUAAACAACUUAUUUUGAGGAUGGAUAUGACUUUCAUUGUUUAAUUAAUAUUUUCCAUCUGAAUAAAUGCAAUUUAUGGCUGCUUUAUCUUUAAGACUUAAAACUAAGCUUGUUUCUUUGAUUUUAGCAAUUAUAAAUGCAGUACUUAAAACAUUCAGCUGUCUGCCCAUUCUCAUGAAAUCAAUUCUAGGACAGACACUGGAAAAGACUCUUUCAAAAUGCACAUACCACUUAUGGUAAUAGAUUUAUCAUACCUAAAACUAAAAAUUUUAUUCAUUUCAGUUGUUCUGUAUUAAACAGGAGUAUAAAAAUGAAUGAUUGAAAAGAUGUACUUUCAAAGAACAAGUACCACCAAAAUUUCUCUCUUGCAAACCUAACACAAAGACAAUGAAAUCACUCUGAACACCUAGACACCAACAGCAAGACAAAGAUACACUACAGCAACACAAGAAAUAAAAACCAAU